Transfer RNA from Vittaforma corneae ATCC 50505, 71 nucleotides. It matches the Rfam family "tRNA". From Rfam's summary of the family: Transfer RNA (tRNA) molecules are approximately 80 nucleotides in length. Their secondary structure includes four short double-helical elements and three loops (D, anti-codon, and T loops). Lineage: Eukaryota; Fungi; Microsporidia; Nosematidae. The record is from Rfam.
GGUUUUGUGGUGUAGCGGUAGCACUCUGGACUUUGAAUCCAGCAACCCGAGUUCGAACCUCGGCAGAACCA